RNAcentral lists this ribosomal RNA (506 nucleotides) under uncultured bacterium. RNAcentral's name for it is "bacterial SSU rRNA". It matches the Rfam family "Bacterial small subunit ribosomal RNA", at positions 24 to 518 of the family's 1533-position model. The record is from RNAcentral.
UCAGGAUGAACGCUAGCUACAGGCUUAACACAUGCAAGUCGAGGGGCAGCAUUGGGAUAGCUUGCUAUUCCAGAUGGCGACCGGCGCACGGGUGAGUAACGCGUAUCCAACCUUCCCCAUAGUAGGGCACAGCCCGGCGAAAGUCGGAUUAAUUCCCUAUGCAGUCCAGAGAGGACAUCUGACCUGGACGAAAGAUUCAUCGCUAUGGGAUGGGGAUGCGUCUGAUUAGGUUGCAGGCGGGGUAACGGCCCACCUGGCCGACGAUCAGUAGGGGUUCUGAGAGGAAGGUCCCCCACAUUGGAACUGAGACACGGUCCAAACUCCUACGGGAGGCAGCAGUGAGGAAUAUUGGUCAAUGGACGGAAGUCUGAACCAGCCAAGUAGCGUGCAAGGAUGACGGCCCUAUGGGUUGUAAACUGCUUUUAUCAGGGGAUAAAGUGAGGUAUGUAUACCUUUUUGCAUGUACCUGAUGAAUAAGGACCGGCUAAUUCCGUGCCAGCCGCCGC